Long non-coding RNA from Polypterus senegalus (gray bichir), 402 nucleotides. RefSeq lists it as uncharacterized. The transcript is spliced from 3 exons. NCBI's taxonomy places the organism in Eukaryota, Metazoa, Chordata, Cladistia, Polypteriformes, Polypteridae. The record is from RefSeq and is a predicted model, not a curated record.
GGGAGCGUUGCUAUGGGUUACAGAAUGAGGCGGCCUCGUUCCUAUCUGACAAUCAGGGCUGUUCUGCCGCACAUGGGCAUGCAAGAGACAGAAGCGGUAAGAUAAAAUAAUAAUAAUAAUAAUUAUAAAACCUGCUAACUAUGCACAGGGCAAACUUUCCAGGGAACAUUAACCGGAAUGGAAACUUCGAUGGAUGAAGCCAAGAACAGCCAUCUUCUUCUAAUGGAGAACGAAGAGGGGUACACAACCGGCAGUUCUAGACUGCUCAACAGAUAAACUGAAAGAGUUCAGAGCAAAGCUGCUGCCUUCUGCUUUUCUAAGCCAUGUAUACUGAAAUGAGAUGUUCCACUUUUAGGCACCAAACAUACCGUAUAUCCACAAGGUUUAUGGAUGUGAUGAGAG